CUCAAAAUGUUUUUGGUGAUACUCAAGACGACAAGGUUGUUAUAGAUGUUACCUUUACGAUUUUAAUAAUUACUUUUUAAUAAAGUGUCUUUCGUUAUUAAGUAAAAAGUUAUAUUUUUAAUGUAGGUGUUGGAGGAGAGUAAUCAGUAUGCGGGGAACAAAUUUGAUGAUGAUGUGUUUGAUGUAAACAAUUAUAGUGAAGUUAAAGAGGAGUGGGAGGAGAGGAAUGACAAUGCAGGGAACAAAUUUGAUGAUGAUGUGCCGGAUGAAGACGAACUUAUAAUAAUGGGAAAUGUAGAUUAUUUUCAUGAUGAUGAUGAUGACAAAGAAGUUACACCCGAUAAACCUAGGAGUCGAAAACCAUCACAAUUUUUAUGCACUCCUUACACCGAGUAUUCGUUUUAUUUAUAAACUGAUGAUUUUAUGUUUAUGUGAAUUAUCUGAAAGAUAUACAUUUAAACAUUUGAAUAUUGUUUUUAGUUGCACACGACACCGAAACAAAAAAGAAGAACAAAAAAGAAGGUUGGUAUGAAAUCAACAAGCCCCGUUCCUCCUCCAGUUUUUGGUGUUGCUCAUGACUUCUCCAUGUUGCGCCUGCAACCUUACGUAGCAGGCGGUGAGGAUGUCAUCCAAAAUUAUGUAUUGCAUUCAUACGAUGUGCAACAUCGUUUGUUUAAUUUCGUGUUAGAUAGAGAUUUUUAGAGCUCAUUGUUUGGGCAUACACACGACGGAUGGUUGGAGUCAGCGCAUAUAACCAUUUGGUACCGAGUUUUGAUGGAGAGAUGGUUUGAGAGCGACCGACAUACAAUAAUGCCUCCAAAUUUUUUUGUUUCUCAUGCUUUGGAAGAAGGACAGGACUGGAGGGCGUUUAUGGCUGGUAUUGCUACAUACCCCAACUUCAUGGUUGCUUGGUGGGAUGUUGAUACGGUCUUAUUGUCGAUUCAUUCAUCCCCUAAUCAUUGACUAUUUGGGGAACUACGAUUAGCGUCAAUGGAAGUGCAUAUUUAUGACAGUCUUGGUAGAGGUGCUUAUGAAAAAUUCCAAUCCGAAGGAAUCUUUUCCAAAUUUGAACGUCGGGUGGCAAAUUAUUUGGACAAGAUUAAGUAUUGGGCGCGGAGGAACAUCCCAAGGAUUCCAUUAAAUAUGCAAUUCAUUUAUGAAGAAAACGUUCCCCAACAAAGUAGUCAUUUGGGAGAUUGCGGUGUUUUUCUUUGUAUGUUUAUGGAGCAAUUGGUUUCAGGUCAACCAAUACGUGUUCUUAUUGACCCAAAGAACGCAGCUUUAGAGUUCCGUCUCCGGAUGGCAAAAAUUAUUUGGGGGUCUAGUCUUGCUCCUCUGUAGUUGGAUUAUAUAAAUGUAUAUACAAAUUAAUGUUGGAUUUCAUUAUUAGUUUAUCUUUAGAGUUUACUCAACGGAUGACAAAAAAUAUAACGUUACGACAAUUACAACAAUUUAAUGACCUACUAAUUACUUAUCAAUAAAUUCAACAUAAGAACGACCACAACAUUUGUUUUAACGUUACAAAUACAACAAUUUAUUGACCUAACAACUUCAAAACCAUAAAAACAAUAUUGAAAAGCUUACAACUUGUAAACAAGAACUGCCAAGAACAACACCCAACUACAAACCAACGCUAUCUUUAACUUCUUAUUUUCUGAUUGAAAGAGCUUAUUAGAGUUAGCUACUUUAGCUAUUACCAUAGAAGAUUGGUCCUUCUCUUCAUCAACCCAACUGAU
This is a non-coding RNA of Lactuca sativa (garden lettuce), 1736 nucleotides long. The record is from RefSeq and is a predicted model, not a curated record. Lineage: Eukaryota; Viridiplantae; Streptophyta; Magnoliopsida; Asterales; Asteraceae.